Molecule: transfer RNA, 23 nt
Filed under: Cynanchum ligulatum
Lineage: Eukaryota; Viridiplantae; Streptophyta; Magnoliopsida; Gentianales; Apocynaceae
Description: partial tRNA-Gly
Source: RNAcentral
UUUUACCUCUAAACUAUACCCGC